This 1523-nucleotide long non-coding RNA is filed under the name Homo sapiens (human). RNAcentral's name for it is "HSALNT0197985". Lineage: Eukaryota; Metazoa; Chordata; Mammalia; Primates; Hominidae. The record is from RNAcentral.
CCGAGCUGCCGUCUCUGUCGCCAGCACCCACCACAGCGAGGCGAGCCGUGGUGCCACACGCUCCAGCCUCCAGCUGUGGCAAGUGACUACCCCUUCUCCUGGUCCUCUAAGCCUGGCACGGAGCAGCUGCGCAGGCAGCCACACAAGAGCCUGGAAUGGCCUGAUGCCCCUUCUGCAUGCCUUAUACAUGAGCUUAUGCAAAUGAGGUUCCUGGACUACAUAUUCUGAUUGGAUGAGAGAAAACCUCUAGGCCUAUUCUGAUUGGACUUUAUUUUCAUGCUGUGAUUGGUUGUCCUAAGACUUGCUCUCAUCCAAUCAGAAUCGAAGCUGGGAGCUCAGCUUAGAGAACAGGAAGUGGGAGCCACAUACCCCGAGCUGGCGGCUUGAGCCUGUGGUAUCUAGGCUCACCUCACUGCGGUUGGUGGAGGUGAUGGAGGUUGCAGCUUGGCCAGCAUGGUAGAAAGGUGGCAGGGUAGGUGAGCUAUCCAGGGAUGCGCUACCCUGGGUAGGAGCACUAUCAAGGUCACAUUGCCGGUGGGGUAUCGGGGGCAUGGGUUGGCGGAGUUGGUGGGGGCUAUACUGCCUGGUGGUGGGGGUGGUUGUGUGUACUAAGGGGGCUGACCGCCAGCUAGGGGGAGGGUUAGGGGUGCUAUCAGCUCCUGCACUGUCAUGGCAGGGGGGCAGGUUGGGGGCACUAUCUGGGCUGUCACUACCCCCAGCAAGGGCUGGUUGGGGGCACUAUCCCUGGCUGCACUGCUGGGGGCAGUGGGGCAGUUUGGGGGCACUAUCAGGUUUACAUGCCCUGUGGCAUGCCGGUGGGGGGGCACUAUUGGGGGUUGCACUGCACUGCUGCUUCUGGCAACGGGCUACGGGGGUGGCUGCGAUAGCUGUGGCCUCCAAGGAAGGGGCCGUCCUCCUCUUCCCAGACUCUAGAUUCUAGAGGGCAACCUCUGUUUGCUCAUGCUGGAGCGUGGCAGGUGCACAAUGUUUCCUUGGGAAUCCUCAGCAGGGCACGUCUGGCUUUUACCACCCAGUUGCUUCGAGCCAGGAGAUGGAGGAGUCAUCUGUUGCACGCUGGAGGCUGGAGCCUGCAGAUGGCAUGGUUCUGUGGCUCACCUCGCUGCAGUUGGUGGCAGAGACAGAGACUGCAGCUUGACCAGAGUGGUGGAGUGGUAGGAGAGUGUCUGCGGGGGCCUCCUGGAGGUGGUAGGAGGCUUGUAGGGUGGGCCGGUGCAUUGAGGGCAACAGCAGCGGUGCUCAUGUUGGUGUUGGCAUUAGUGGUGGCGGCAGCAGCAAGUCUGGGAUCCGAGAAGUGGGAGUGGGAAUGCUGUGGAGCCCACCGGGCCCAGCCUGGCCUGAAGUGGGGAGGCAGCUGCGGGUGCUGUACUGUGGGCCUAGGUGGCAGCAGUGGAGGCCCAGCCAUGGCAAGGAGGAGUCCUCCUCCUUCUCCUGCAGAAUCUGGAAGUGCCCUCCUCCUGCUGGUGCCUGGGCCAGGUGUGAGUGGCAACAUUGUCUUAUUCUUA